CAGAGGGUGCAAACGUUGCUCGGAAUCACUGGGCGUAAAGGGCGUGUAGGCGGGAAGGAAGUCAGAUGUGAAAUCCCCAGGCUCAACCUGGGAACUGCAUUUGAAACUCCCUUUCUUGAGUACCGGAGAGGAAAGUGGAAUUCCUGGUGUAGAGGUGAAAUUCGUAGAUAUCAGGAGGAACACCAGUGGCGAAGGCGGCUUUCUGGACGGUAACUGACGCUGAGACGCGAAAGCGUGGGGAGCAAACAGGAUU
Molecule: ribosomal RNA, 253 nt
Filed under: uncultured bacterium
Lineage: Bacteria
Description: partial 16S ribosomal RNA
Rfam family: Bacterial small subunit ribosomal RNA
Source: RNAcentral